GCGGUCGUGGCGAAGGCCUGGGCGAUGAGGGUCUUGCCCGUGCCCGGGGGGCCGUACAUCAGAGCGCCGUUCGAAACGGUCGACCACG
Molecule: transfer RNA, 88 nt
Filed under: Methylobacterium brachiatum
Lineage: Bacteria; Pseudomonadati; Pseudomonadota; Alphaproteobacteria; Hyphomicrobiales; Methylobacteriaceae
Description: tRNA-Lys
Source: RNAcentral